GUGGGGAAUCUUGCGCAAUGGGCGAAAGCCUGACGCAGCCAUGCCGCGUGAAUGAUGAAGGUCUUAGGAUUGUAAAAUUCUUUCACCGGGGACGAUAAUGACGGUACCCGUAGAAGAAGCCCCGGCUAACUUCGUGCCAGCAGCCGCGGUAAUACGAAGGGGGCAAGCGUUGUUCGGAUUUACUGGGCGUAAAGGGCGCGUAGGCGGAUAGACAAGUCAGAGGUGAAAGCCCUGGGCUCAACCCGGGAACUGCCUUUGAAACUGUUUGUCUUGAGUAUGGGAGAGGAUGGCGGAAUACCCAGUGUAGAGGUGAAAUUCGUAGAUAUUGGGUAGAACACCAGUGGCGAAGGCGGCCAUCUGGCCCAUAACUGACGCUGAGGUGCGAAAGCGUGGGGAGCAAACAGGAUUAGAUACCCUAGUAGUCC
Molecule: ribosomal RNA, 425 nt
Filed under: uncultured bacterium
Lineage: Bacteria
Description: partial 16S ribosomal RNA
Rfam family: Bacterial small subunit ribosomal RNA
Source: RNAcentral